CUACGUGCCAGCAGCCGCGGUAAUACGUAGAUGGCAAGCGUUGUCCGGAAUUAUUGGGCGUAAAGCGCGCGCAGGCGGAUUGGUCAGUCUGUCUUAAAAGUUCGGGGCUUAACCCCGUGAUGGGAUGGAAACUGCCAAUCUAGAGUAUCGGAGAGGAAAGUGGAAUUCCUAGUGUAGCGGUGAAAUGCGUAGAUAUUAGGAAGAACACCAGUGGCGAAGGCGACUUUCUGGACGAAAACUGACGCUGAGGCGCGAAAGCCAGGGGAGCGAACGGGAUUAGAUACCCCGGUAGUCCUGGCCGUAAACGAUGGGUACUAGGUGUAGGAGGUAUCGACCCCUUCUGUGCCGGAGUUAACGCAAUAAGUACCCCGCCUGGGGAGUACGACCGCAAGGUUGAAACUCAAAGGAAUUGACGGGGGCCCGCACAAGCGGUGGAGUAUGUGGUUUAAUUCGAUGAUACGCGAGGAACCUUACCCGGGCUUGAA
Molecule: ribosomal RNA, 485 nt
Filed under: uncultured bacterium
Lineage: Bacteria
Description: bacterial SSU rRNA
Rfam family: Bacterial small subunit ribosomal RNA
Source: RNAcentral